RNAcentral lists this ribosomal RNA (375 nucleotides) under Triticum aestivum (bread wheat). RNAcentral describes it as "partial small subunit ribosomal RNA". Lineage: Eukaryota; Viridiplantae; Streptophyta; Magnoliopsida; Poales; Poaceae. The record is from RNAcentral.
GGAAUUAAGCUGAUGAGCCAUACAAUGAAGCUAUGGGAGAGAGUCAUUGAGCACCGCUUAAGAAGAAUGGCAAGCGUGACCAAAAAUCAGUUUGGUUUCAUGCCUGGGAGGUCGACCAUGGAAGCCAUUUUCUUGGUACGACAACUUAUGGAGAGAUAUAGGGAGCAUAAGAAGGACUUGCAUAUGGUGUUCAUUGACUUGGAGAAGGCCUAUGAUAAGAUACCGCGGAAUGUCAUGUGGUGGGCCUUGGAGAAACACAAAGUCCCAGCAAAGUACAUUACCCUCAUCAAGGACAUGUACAAUAAUGUUGUGACAAGUGUUCGAACAAGUGAUGUCGACACCGAUGACUUCCCGAUUAAGAUAGGACUGCAUGAG